CUACGGGAGGCUCCAGUGAGGAAUAUUGCACAAUGGGGGGAACCCUGAUGCAGCAACGCCGCGUGGAGGAUGACGCAUUUCGGUGUGUAAACUCCUUUUAUAUGUCAAGAAAAUGACGGUAGCAUAUGAAUAAGCGCCGGCUAACUCCGUGCCAGCAGCCGCGGUAAUACGGAGGGCGCAAGCGUUACUCGGAAUCACUGGGCGUAAAGGACGCGUAGGCGGGUUGAAAAGUCAGGUGUGAAAGCCUACAGCUUAACUGUAGAACUGCACUUGAAACUCUCAAUCUAGAGUAUGGGAGGGGCCGAUGGAAUUAGUGGUGUAGGGGUAAAAUCCGUAGAUAUCACUAGGAAUACCUAAAGCGAAGGCGAUCUGCUGGAACAUUACUGACGCUAAGGCGUGAAAGCGUGGGGAGCAAACAGGAUUAGAUACCCCUGUAGUC
Molecule: ribosomal RNA, 439 nt
Filed under: uncultured bacterium
Lineage: Bacteria
Description: partial 16S ribosomal RNA
Rfam family: Bacterial small subunit ribosomal RNA
Source: RNAcentral